UGGGGAAUCUUGCGCAAUGGGCGAAAGCCUGACGCAGCAACGCCGCGUGCAGGAUGAAGGCCUUCGUGGUCGUAAACUGCUUUCGGCAGGGACGAAAUUGACGGUACCUGCAGAAGAAGCUCCGGCUAACUACGUGCCAGCAGCCGCGGUAACACGUAGGGGGCGAGCGUUGUCCGGAUUCAUUGGGCGUAAAGAGCUCGUAGGUGGUUCAGUAAGUCGGGUGUGAAAGCUCCGAGCUCAACUCGGAGAGGCCACCCGAUACUGCUGUGACUCGAGUCCGGUAGAGGAGCGUGGAACUCCUGGUGUAGCGGUGAAAUGCGCAGAUAUCAGGAAGAACACCCGUAGCGAAGGCGGCGCUCUGGGCCGGUACUGACGCUGAGGAGCGAAAGCGUGGGUAGCAAACAGG
RNAcentral lists this ribosomal RNA (406 nucleotides) under uncultured bacterium. RNAcentral's name for it is "bacterial SSU rRNA". It matches the Rfam family "Bacterial small subunit ribosomal RNA", at positions 355 to 776 of the family's 1533-position model. The record is from RNAcentral.